CCCCCUUCAACUCCCCAAAGACCUGUCAACCAGCAGUCUACAAAAAGGGGAGCUCGCCUGCUGCUCGCCGCCUUCCGCCUUUCGCCUUCUGCAUUCACCUGUUCCUAUCAUGGCCCGGGGUCUUGCUCUGCUGUAUCCGUUCUCUCUCCACAUGUUACUCAUUUCUAUUAUAGAUUCCUCGCACUACUAGUACUACCUGUUCCCGAUAGAUCCUUCCAGAAUUAGGCUAUGGAGUUCCUUUCCUGAGGCAAUAUGACGGUGAUACCCACCCCACUUGCUCUGCAUGUCCUCACCUAAGCUCCACCAGUCGUAUUG
Molecule: long non-coding RNA, 315 nt
Organism: Bolinopsis microptera
Lineage: Eukaryota; Metazoa; Ctenophora; Tentaculata; Lobata; Bolinopsidae
Exons: 3
Source: RefSeq, a predicted model, not a curated record